RNAcentral lists this ribosomal RNA (484 nucleotides) under uncultured bacterium. RNAcentral describes it as "partial 16S ribosomal RNA". It matches the Rfam family "Bacterial small subunit ribosomal RNA", at positions 28 to 507 of the family's 1533-position model. The record is from RNAcentral.
AUUGAACGCUGGCGGCAUGCUUUACACAUGCAAGUCGAACGGCAGCGCGGGCUUCGGCCUGGCGGCGAGUGGCGAACGGGUGAGUAAUGCAUCGGAACGUGCCCAGUAGUGGGGGAUAGCCCGGCGAAAGCCGGAUUAAUACCGCAUACGGCCUGAGGGUGAAAGUGGGGGACCGAAAGGCCUCGCGCUAUUGGAGCGGCCGAUGUCGGAUUAGCUAGUUGGUGGGGUAAAGGCUUACCAAGGCGACGAUCCGUAGCUGGUCUGAGAGGACGACCAGCCACACUGGGACUGAGACACGGCCCAGACUCCUACGGGAGGCAGCAGUGGGGAAUUUUGGACAAUGGGGGCAACCCUGAUCCAGCCAUGCCGCGUGCGGGAAGAAGGCCUUCGGGUUGUAAACCGCUUUUGUUCGGGAAGAAAUACUCUGGGCUAAUACCCCGGGGGGAUGACGGUACCGGAAGAAUAAGCACCGGCUAACUACGUG